This 280-nucleotide ribosomal RNA is filed under the name uncultured Bacillus sp. RNAcentral describes it as "partial 16S ribosomal RNA". It matches the Rfam family "Bacterial small subunit ribosomal RNA", at positions 505 to 785 of the family's 1533-position model. Lineage: Bacteria; Bacillati; Bacillota; Bacilli; Caryophanales; Bacillaceae. The record is from RNAcentral.
GUGCCAGCAGCCGCGGUAAUACGUAGGUGGCAAGCGUUGUCCGGAAUUAUUGGGCGUAAAGCGCGCGCAGGCGGUCCUUUAAGUCUGAUGUGAAAGCCCACGGCUCAACCGUGGAGGGUCAUUGGAAACUGGGGGACUUGAGUGCAGAAGAGGAAAGCGGAAUUCCACGUGUAGCGGUGAAAUGCGUAGAGAUGUGGAGGAACACCAGUGGCGAAGGCGGCUUUCUGGUCUGUAACUGACGCUGAGGCGCGAAAGCGUGGGGAGCAACAGGAUUAGAUAC